This is a non-coding RNA of Misgurnus anguillicaudatus (oriental weatherfish), 1356 nucleotides long. The record is from RefSeq and is a predicted model, not a curated record. NCBI's taxonomy places the organism in Eukaryota, Metazoa, Chordata, Actinopteri, Cypriniformes, Cobitidae.
UGUUCAACCCAGUCUCACGGCAGUUCGUGACAUAGUCACGUAAUUUAAUCUAUUGAUUCGUGUUCAUGGACACGAUUUCCCCCUUUUUUUCGUGCUAGUCAGAACGACUUUCAAUCUAAUGUAUUUCAAUAGGAAGUAUUUUUCGUGCCUGCACCACGUUUUUUUGUCCUAUUAUUUUUUUGUGUUUUCCAGCACGAAUUUAAUCUAAUGUAUUGCAAUAGUAUAUACCCGGGAGCUGUAUUGUUUUACUUUAUUUGUCAUUAAUUUAUUACACUUUAAGCGCUACUUUACUCAACAUUUAAUCAGGAGACGUUUAUCCUUUUUUAUUUGUUUAAUAUUCUGCAUGAUGAUCGCCAUUGUAAACCAUCGUCAGCAGUACAUAAUUGUUAAUUUACGAGACUGCAGAGUUUUGCUACUGCAAUCGUUUCCAAAUGUUGCCGUUUUUUCUGAGAAAUAUUGAUUUUUUUCGAUCGGUUUCGUGUGUCAAAUACAAGAUUAAAUACUACAGUACCCAUGAGCCUUAUCGACAUCUACUAUGGUGAAGGCACCAGCUAAAACUACAUGUGGGCCCGCUGCAGAUUACAAUAUUUUCUCAACACAUGAACACUAACGUGUGCUUGAUAGUUCAACAAUACGAUGUUAUGGCCAUCAAAUUUGAUUGUUUCUACUUUGAUUGUAAAAAAAAAGUCCGUUUCGGACGCCUGCAUUUCCCAGAAUCCUCUCUGCCUCCGUUGCUAUGGAAUCUGAGCCAGUCCUCUUUGCUAUUGGGUGAUUUCUUCUUCGGUACUCGUAAUUGACUGGGAUUCUCUCAUUACGCGUAAAUCACUGUCCAGCAGGUGAUGUUGGUGUACUACUAAUCAAAGAACCGGCUUUACUGACGAGAUGCGCAUGACAAUCAUGUGCGAUUUAUCGUGCAGCCCUACUUGACAAACUCCAUGCUACUGGAUACAAGCCAGUUCUGCUUCGUGAAAAGGAGACCAAGAAGCAAAAUAUUAAGUGUGAGAGAUUAUCGCCUAUGCCCAGGACUACCUUCAGAAGAUCGGUUCCUUUUAUGAAUACCUUUGUGAAGCAUCUGAUAGAGCUUUUGGACCCGGAAGCGGUGCUGUGUGAUGUCAGACAAACAAGCGGAUGGGAUUUGGUUGGACCCAGGAUUCCAGUGGCAUUAUGAUCAGCUGGUUACACUGCACCUCACACCCUGUGACCCACUGGAGAAUGCAAACAACUGGAAGAGAUGACAAACAUGGUGGAGCAGGCGACCACUACAGAGGGACAGGUGGAGGCAGCGAACACUAUGGAAGGGCAGCUGGAGCAGGCGAGCACUACGAAGGGCCAAGGUAAUUAAGACAGAUUUUAAGA